This 39-nucleotide ribosomal RNA is filed under the name Hyaloperonospora parasitica. RNAcentral describes it as "partial 28S ribosomal RNA". RNAcentral also lists the same sequence under 2 other names. Lineage: Eukaryota; Oomycota; Peronosporomycetes; Peronosporales; Peronosporaceae. The record is from RNAcentral.
ACGGACCUGAUAUUAGGCAAGAUUACCCGCUGAACUUAA